Molecule: RNA transcript, 785 nt
Organism: Eurytemora carolleeae
Lineage: Eukaryota; Metazoa; Arthropoda; Copepoda; Calanoida; Temoridae
Exons: 4
Source: RefSeq, a predicted model, not a curated record
AUUAGUUCAGAUCAGGAUUUGUAUAGUUAGAUGCUUGUUUUCAGUAAAUUUAAAUGGUUUAUUUCUAGGCCCGACUGAAGCCAAUGAUUGAAUGUGGAAAAGGAAGCUCACGUGACUCAGUGGAUGGCAAUACCAGGAGUAAGGAACCACAUUUGUCUCCUAAGACUCUGUCCACAUCUGUGCUGAAGACUGAAAUACCCUUGAAAGAGUUAAACCCGAACCAACAGCUCAGACUUGGACCUGGAGAAGAACCAGGAGCAGAACCUGAACCAGGAUCUCGUCUAAAAGCUUCUAAAUCUCACAGCAUAUUCGGGAAAAGAGGAAGUUACAGUCUAGAAACUGAAGAAAAAGAAGAAAAUGGCGUAACUACUCUUUCCUUCCAACACACACAAACAGACUCAUUCUCAUAAACAUUAAUUCAGUGAUCCCUCAUGUUCAAUCCUAUUUACCGAGUGAUUGUAUUUUAUGGGGUCCAGGAGUAAUAUGGUAUCUAAAUUAUGUUUAAUGUAUUUUGCUAUUUUAAAGUGGAUUUAAAUUUGAUAUGAGGGGUGAAAAUACAGAAAGCCCCUGGUGGGUGGUUGGCUCUAUUUCAACAUUGACUGACUGGGGGUGGUGGGGUUGACUGUUGAGUGUGACCACACUAUAACCAUAUAAUGCCAAAAAAUAUUUUUUUUUUAUUUAAGUAGAUAUGGCAUCCCUAUCAGUUGAAUUUCAUUUCUUUAUUUUUGAAACACUGUAAAAUGUAAAUAGUAAUUUAAGUUAUUUAAAAAAAAUGUCAAAAUAAU